GUCCACGCCGUAAACGUUGGGCGCUAGGUGUGGGGUCCUUCCACGGAUUCCGUGCCGCAGCUAACGCAUUAAGCGCCCCGCCUGGGGAGUACGGCCGCAAGGCUAAAACUCAAAGGAAUUGACGGGGGCCCGCACAAGCGGCGGAGCAUGUUGCUUAAUUCGACGCAACGCGAAGAACCUUACCAAGGUUUGACAUACAGGGAAAAGCCGUAGAGAUAUGGUGUCCGUAAGGGUCCUGUACAGGUGGUGCAUGGCUGUCGU
This 261-nucleotide ribosomal RNA is filed under the name uncultured bacterium. RNAcentral describes it as "partial 16S ribosomal RNA". It matches the Rfam family "Bacterial small subunit ribosomal RNA", at positions 793 to 1055 of the family's 1533-position model. The record is from RNAcentral.